Molecule: long non-coding RNA, 678 nt
Organism: Xiphophorus couchianus (Monterrey platyfish)
Lineage: Eukaryota; Metazoa; Chordata; Actinopteri; Cyprinodontiformes; Poeciliidae
Exons: 2
Source: RefSeq, a predicted model, not a curated record
AGACAAAUCUACAGAUUUAAACAAAACCGGUAUUUUCAGCCACUUCCUUUCUCAGGUUUUGUCUUAAUGAAACACAUUAUUUAUUAAAAAUAAUUUCUGCAGCUGUACACACAUCAAGUCGUUUAUGUGUAUUGCACAUUUCAGCAACGAAGCAGUUCAAAGUGCUUUGCAUCUUCUAAUCAUCAUACAGUCAUUAAUUAUGAAACAGCCUAUAGCAAUAUUUUAACUGAACCCAUCAAUUUAGAUUCCUGGCUCCUCAUUCAAACUCUCUGUUCGUUAACUUCUGAGUUCUUGAAAAGUAUGUUCUUAUUUUUUGCCAUUUAGAAAAUAGAAAUGUUUUGGAGAUUCAAACUGAUCUGAAACAGGAAAAAUUCAGUGAGAAACAGAGGUUAAGUCCCUUUUAUACAGAUUUAUUCAUUUAAAAUCUGGUAAGUCAAACAGCUUUGAGACACGAUAAAGAUCAUCAGGAAACAGCAUCGUGUCUUUAUUUACACGUGCAUGUAGAAACGUGACGCUUUUCACACCGUUUCAGCCAAAAGCUUUCUGCUGGGGCUUUCUGUAUUAUUUGAUUUAAGCUUUGUCUCGUCAUGCGCUUUGUGUUUCCUCUGCUUCUAGUUUUACUUAUGAUCAUCAGUCUAACUUUAGACACAAACACAAACAAAUAUUGAGCAGAUUGUG